This 505-nucleotide ribosomal RNA is filed under the name uncultured bacterium. RNAcentral describes it as "partial 16S ribosomal RNA". It matches the Rfam family "Bacterial small subunit ribosomal RNA", at positions 28 to 507 of the family's 1533-position model. The record is from RNAcentral.
GACGAACGCUGGCGGCGUGCCUAAUACAUGCAAGUAGAACGCACAGUUUAUACCGUAGCUUGCUACACCAUAGACUGUGAGUUGCGAACGGGUGAGUAACGCGUAGGUAACCUGCCUGGUAGCGGGGGAUAACUAUUGGAAACGAUAGCUAAUACCGCAUAAUAUUAAUUAUUGCAUGAUAAUUGAUUGAAAGAUGCAACUGCAUCACUACCAGAUGGACCUGCGUUGUAUUAGCUAGUAGGUGAGGUAACGGCUCACCUAGGCGACGAUACAUAGCCGACCUGAGAGGGUGAUCGGCCACACUGGGACUGAGACACGGCCCAGACUCCUACGGGAGGCAGCAGUAGGGAAUCUUCGGCAAUGGACGAAAGUCUGACCGAGCAAUGCCGCGUGAGUGAAGAAGGUUUUCGGAUCGUAAAGCUCUGUUGUAAGAGAAGAACGGGUGUGAGAGUGGAAAGUUCACACUGUGACGGUAUCUUACCAGAAAGGGACGGCUAACUACGUG